RNAcentral lists this ribosomal RNA (301 nucleotides) under uncultured bacterium. RNAcentral describes it as "partial 16S ribosomal RNA". It matches the Rfam family "Bacterial small subunit ribosomal RNA", at positions 509 to 807 of the family's 1533-position model. The record is from RNAcentral.
CAGUAGCCACGGGAAUACGUAGGUGGCAAGCGUUGUCCGGAAUUAUUGGGCGUAAAGCGCGCGCAGGUGGUUUAAUAAGUCUGACGUGAAAGCCCCCGGCUCAACCGGGGAGGGUCAUUGGAAACUGGGAAACUUGAGUGCAGAAGAGGAGAGUGGAAUUCCACGUGUAGCGGUGAAAUGCGUAGAGAUGUGGAGGAACACCAGUGGCGAAGGCGACUCUCUGGCCUGUAACUGACGCUGAGGAGCGAAAGCGUGGGGAGCGAACAGGAUUAGAUACCCCUGUAGUCCCUGUCUCUUAUAC